RNAcentral lists this ribosomal RNA (254 nucleotides) under uncultured bacterium. RNAcentral describes it as "partial 16S ribosomal RNA". It matches the Rfam family "Bacterial small subunit ribosomal RNA", at positions 524 to 776 of the family's 1533-position model. The record is from RNAcentral.
UACGGGGGGAGCAAGCGUUGUUCGGAUUUACUGGGCGUAAAGGGCGCGUAGGCGGUCGUGACAAGUCACUUGUGAAAUCUCCGGGCUUAACUCGGAACGGUCAAGUGAUACUGUCGGACUAGAGUACAGAAGGGGCAACUGGAAUUCUCGGUGUAGCGGUGAAAUGCGUAGAUAUCAGGAGGAACACCGGUGGCGAAGGCGGUUCUCUGGGCCUUACCUGACGCUGAGGAGCGAAAGCAUGGGGAGCGAACAGG